Molecule: long non-coding RNA, 323 nt
Organism: Arabidopsis thaliana (thale cress)
Lineage: Eukaryota; Viridiplantae; Streptophyta; Magnoliopsida; Brassicales; Brassicaceae
Product: other RNA
Exons: 1
Source: RefSeq
UGCCUUCACUCUCUUUCCCUCCAUGCCUAUCCUUUUCUAGAUACACUUCUCCACUUUGAUCUCAUAAAUUUCAAAAUUACUAUAAUUAAUAGGCCAUUAUAAUAUGUAAAUUAUAAUUUUCGUGUUUGUGUUUAAAUGAUGUAAGCUUAAGGAGUAAUUAGAGAUGACUUCUUAAAUCAUCUGAUUUAAUGCUUUUUAUAGCUAAUGUGAAAAAUUGAUUGUGUGCGGAGAAAUUGAAAUUGAUAGAUACAAAAGAGACUCGUUUUAUAGCAGUUUGAGUGAAAUAAAAAGACUUUGGGUAUGGGCUUGGGCUUGGAUUUCAU